CAAUAGCGUAUAUUAAAGUUGUUGCAGUUAAAAAGCUCGUAGUUGGAUCUGUGGUGUGCGGUGGGCUCCGGGCACUUGUUGUCUGAGUAGCUCGCCGCUGCCAUCCUUGGGUGGAACCUGUGUGGCAUUAGGUUGUCGUGCAGGGGAUGCCCAUCGUUUACUGUGAAAAAAUUAGAGUGUUCAAAGCAGGCUUAUGCCGUUGAAUAUAUUAGCAUGGAAUAAUGAGAUAGGACUUUUUCGCUAUUUUGUUGGUUUGCGCGAAGAGGUAAUGAUUAAUAGGGACAGUUGGGGGUAUUCGUAUUCCAUUGUCAGAGGUGGAAUUCUUGGAUUUUUGGAAGACGAACUACUGCGAAAGCAUUUACCAAGGAUGUUUUCAUUAA
RNAcentral lists this ribosomal RNA (380 nucleotides) under uncultured eukaryote. RNAcentral describes it as "partial 18S ribosomal RNA". It matches the Rfam family "Eukaryotic small subunit ribosomal RNA", at positions 592 to 976 of the family's 1831-position model. The record is from RNAcentral.